Molecule: long non-coding RNA, 756 nt
Organism: Lolium rigidum
Lineage: Eukaryota; Viridiplantae; Streptophyta; Magnoliopsida; Poales; Poaceae
Exons: 2
Source: RefSeq, a predicted model, not a curated record
AUUUGGUGCAGCGCCGACCUGAAGUGAAGAUCCACGCCGCCCGGAAAAAUCAAGAGAGGCAGUCGCGACCAUGACGGUGGCGCAAGCUCGAGGUCGCGUCAAUGGCGUUUCAAACCAACUUGCGCCAGAUCGGGGAAGUGGCCAUGACGAGCAGCAGUGAACGGCGUGUUCGUGGCGCUUCUUGCCGCCAGAAACGCCCUUGCCGACGUCCAGCACCGCCUCGACCUUCAGUUAGGAGAUGAUCGACCUGAUGCGGACCCUCAUGACCGACGAUGACAAGGCCCGGCAAUUUCAAGCAGGAGGCCCCCGUCUCGCCAAUCCCCCAAUUCCCCAAGCUCAGCUACAGAUUUUGCAAGAGUUCUGAUGGAUUUUGAACAAUUUCUCCCUUGGAAGUCUGUUCUUCCAUUUUCCAGAGUUUUCGGCAGACUUCAAUGAACUUCUAGAUUUUUGUGCCAUGAGGGUGUGAAUGAGUGUGGUGUGUCUCUGAGAAUAUACAGUGUCGAUUUCUUGGUUCCUGGUGUUGUUCCUGUUCUGUAUUUAGCCCCGGUAUUUUUGCACAACAUUUGUCUAGAGCUACACAAAAUCUCCGCAAGGUACAUUAGUUUGCUAUUCAGCAGAUUGCAACGUGAGCUGAUGAGCCUCUACGUUCUGUUUGAAGAGUUGGCGCGUGUCUUAAUGUGGAGUACACCUGAUAAAUUCAGUGUGGUUGUCUUGGUCUAGGAUGAUUUGUCAGAUGCACACUUGGUUUUAAGUUCA